Long non-coding RNA from Oncorhynchus tshawytscha (Chinook salmon), 534 nucleotides. The record is from Ensembl. NCBI's taxonomy places the organism in Eukaryota, Metazoa, Chordata, Actinopteri, Salmoniformes, Salmonidae.
GGUCAUCGUAACGCCUGGGCCCACUGAUGUAGGGAGAGGUGAGCUGACAGCGGUAGAGCAGCCACAAGCACCUGUUGCUGAGGAACAAGUUAUCCGUGUUGAGGGCACGGGGUUGCAACUUGUAUUAGAAGGAAAUGUUAUGCUACAGAAAAGUAUUGUUGUAGAAGGUAAGGAUGUAUCUGAAGAGCCAGUUCCUCAGACUGGUGAGCAGGUGCCCAGUAUGAGUGCUGGGGUAAAGGAGGGGGUUCAUGUGGAGCUAGGCUCCCAGGGAGUGGAGGAGAUGCCCACUACGAGUGCUGGGGUUCAUGUAGAGCUAGGCUCCCAGGUAGUGGAGGAGAUGCCCACUACGAGUAAUGAAGUACAGGAGGGUUUGCAUGUGGAGCUAAGCUCCCAGGUAGUGGAGGAGAUGCCCACUACGAGUGCUGGGGUUCAUGUGGAGCUAGGUUCUCAGUUAGUGGAGAAGAUGCCCACUAUGAGUAGUGAUGUUCAGGUGGGGCUAGUCUCCCAGAUAGUGGAGGAGAUGCCUGGUACGAG